Molecule: ribosomal RNA, 473 nt
Filed under: uncultured bacterium
Lineage: Bacteria
Description: bacterial SSU rRNA
Rfam family: Bacterial small subunit ribosomal RNA
Source: RNAcentral
UCGAGAGGCUUCGGCAAUGGGGGAAACCCUGACCGAGCGACGCCGCGUGGGUGAUGAAGAUUCUCGGAUCGUAAAACCCUGUCAGGUGGGAUGAAAAACCAUUCGGUUAAUACCCGAGUGGCUUGACAGUACCACCAGAGGAAGCUCCGGCCAACUCCGUGCCAGCAGCCGCGGUAACACGGGGGGAGCAAGCGUUGUUCGGAUUUACUGGGCGUAAAGGGCGCGUAGGCGGCAAUUCAAGUCAUCUGUGAAAUCUCCGGGCUUAACUCGGAACGGUCAGAUGAUACUGCUUUGCUAGAGUGCAGAAGGGGCAAUCGGAAUUCUUGGUGUAGCGGUGAAAUGCGUAGAUAUCAAGAGGAACACCUGAGGUGAAGACGGGUUGCUGGGCUGACACUGACGCUGAGGCGCGAAAGCCAGGGGAGCAAACGGGAUUAGAUACCCACGUAGUCCCUGAGCGGGCUGGCAAGGCGCAU